CUGGCGGCGUGCCUAACACAUGCAAGUCGAACGAAGCUUGACGAACGAUUCUUCGGAUGAAUUCUGAUAUGACUGAGUGGCGAACGGGUGAGUAACGCGUGAGGAACCUGCCUCAAAGAGGGGGACAACAGUUGGAAACGACUGCUAAUACCGCAUAAGCCCACGGCUCGGCAUCGAGCAGAGGGAGAAGGAGCAAUCCGCUUUGAGAUGGCCUCGCGUCCGAUUAGCUAGUUGGUGAGGUAACGGCCCACCAAGGCGACGAUCGGUAGCCGGACUGAGAGGUUGAACGGCCACAUUGGGACUGAGACACGGCCCAGACUCCUACGGGAGGCAGCAGUGGGGAAUAUUGCACAAUGGGGGGAACCCUGAUGCAGCGACGCCGCGUGGAGGAAGAAGGUCUUCGGAUUGUAAACUCCUGUUGUUGAGGAAGAUAAUGACGGUACUCAACAAGGAAGUGACGGCUAACUACGUG
This 472-nucleotide ribosomal RNA is filed under the name uncultured bacterium. Its description in RNAcentral is "bacterial SSU rRNA". It matches the Rfam family "Bacterial small subunit ribosomal RNA", at positions 36 to 507 of the family's 1533-position model. The record is from RNAcentral.